CACGUAAUUUGCCGGUGCUUAUUCAAGCCCUACAGUCACCACACAAUCAUUCCCUACUGUGCUUAUUCCUCAGGCUUAAAAGGAUUUUACAACCUUUCGGCAUUCUUCAUCCACGCGGCGUCGCUCCGUCAGACUUUCGUCCAUUGCGGAAUAUUCUUAACUGCUGCCUCCCGUAGAAGUCUGGGCCGUAUCUCAGUCCCAAUGUGUCCGUCCACCCUCUCAGGCCGGAUACCCAUCAUCGCCUUGGUGGGCCGUUACCUCACCAACGAGCAUAAUGGGCCGCGGGCCAUUCUUUUAGCGAAGCCUUAGCUCCUUUCCUCGUAUCCCUCUAACAGAUACGGUCACAUUCGGUAUUACCUACUAUUUCUAAUAGCUAUCCCCAUCUAAAAGGUAUGUCACCCACGUGUUACUCACCAGUCCGCCACUCUCAGAAAGGAGCAAGCUCCUUCUACCGUUCGACUUGCAUGUUUAAGACGCGCCGCCAGCGUCGUUCUGUAGUCCAGGAUCGAAACUA
This 514-nucleotide ribosomal RNA is filed under the name uncultured Treponema sp. RNAcentral describes it as "partial 16S ribosomal RNA". Lineage: Bacteria; Pseudomonadati; Spirochaetota; Spirochaetia; Treponematales; Treponemataceae. The record is from RNAcentral.